This is a long non-coding RNA of Zea mays, 958 nucleotides long. RefSeq lists it as uncharacterized. The transcript has 5 exons. NCBI's taxonomy places the organism in Eukaryota, Viridiplantae, Streptophyta, Magnoliopsida, Poales, Poaceae. The record is from RefSeq and is a predicted model, not a curated record.
UCCACCUCAUCCGCUGACAGACAAGAGCGCAAUCACCCGCGGGCCUUGGGCUUGGGCCUUGGAAUAGGGUACCACCAACCAAUCAAUCGAAGAAGAGGCCCGCCGGCCGCCGCGGUUUGCUCGCUAUCGCUCCCUUGCUGGCUGCGGUGCGGGUGCGCCGCCGUCGACGAGGGAGUCCCUGGCUCCCUCCCUCCGGGUUCGAAUUCGGGUUGCUUCCUUAGGGUUCAGUGGCAGUACAUAGCAUGGCCCUAAAGCUCGGCUGGAGGAGAGGAGGAGGAGGCUGGCUUGCGCUUCCAUUGGGGAAUCGGACCACCGCGUCUUCCUCCGCAUGCAGCAGCUCCAACUUGUUCGUCGGCGGUCUUUCCUACGACACUAACGAGACAGCUCUCAAGGAUGUUUUCUCUCAAUGUGGUGAUGUUAUUGCGGCGAAGGUUAUAUGCCAUCCCACAAGCGGCAAGUCGAAAGGAUUUGGUUUUGUCAAGUUUUCUUCGCAAAACCAAGCUGACGCAGCAUUGCAAAAGAUGAACGGUGCUUGAUGGAAGGAAAAUUCGGGUGCACUAUGCAAACGGGACUGGAUGACUUGUGAUUUAGAAACAGAUAGAAAAUGAGAUGAGCAGGUGAUGAUUGAUGAGCAUCCAGCGGCUGGAUCUUAAAAAUCCGCAUUCGCCAUUGAAGUUUUGUUGAGAUCUCGAAGCUGUAAAAACUCGGACGAACUCAAGCGAGACAAAGAUUUCUCUUGGUGACACGGACUGUUAUAAGAUGUUUUCUGUGAGGAAAAAGUUAGUCUAUCAUAUUUUUACUUGCCACUAUUUUUAUUUGGUUUGUAAAAUAAAAUGAGUUGAUCCACUCAUAGUUAGUUAAUACUAAGGUUAUCUUCAGUAACAUCCUCUAAAUUUUAUUCCCUAAAAGAAUAUUUUUUGUCCUUUACAAAUCACUCUAAAAGAUUCCGUCCUCUAUA